RNAcentral lists this ribosomal RNA (193 nucleotides) under Salmonella enterica subsp. enterica serovar Heidelberg str. RI-11-013312. RNAcentral's name for it is "partial 23S ribosomal RNA". It matches the Rfam family "Bacterial large subunit ribosomal RNA", at positions 2740 to 2925 of the family's 2925-position model. RNAcentral also lists the same sequence under 1 other name. The record is from RNAcentral. Lineage: Bacteria; Pseudomonadati; Pseudomonadota; Gammaproteobacteria; Enterobacterales; Enterobacteriaceae.
GCCCGGUAGCUAAAUGCGGAAGAGAUAAGUGCUGAAAGCAUCUAAGCACGAAACUUGCCCCGAGAUGAGUUCUCCCUGAGACUUAGAGUCUCCUGAAGGAACGUUGAAGACGACGACGUUGAUAGGCCGGGUGUGUAAGCGCAGCGAUGCGUUGAGCUAACCGGUACUAAUGAACCGUGAGGCUUAACCUUAC